RNAcentral lists this transfer RNA (38 nucleotides) under Solanum lycopersicum (tomato). RNAcentral's name for it is "tRNA-Val". Lineage: Eukaryota; Viridiplantae; Streptophyta; Magnoliopsida; Solanales; Solanaceae. RNAcentral also lists the same sequence under 9 other names. The record is from RNAcentral.
AGGGCUAUAGCUCAGUUGGUAGAGCAACUCGUUUACAC